UGCCAGCAGCCGCGGUAAUACGGAGGGGGUUAGCGUUGUUCGGAAUUACUGGGCGUAAAGCGCACGUAGGCGGAUUAGUAAGUUAGAGGUGAAAUCCCGGGGCUCAACCCCGGAACUGCCUUUAAUACUGGCAGUCUAGAGUUCGAGAGAGGUGAGUGGAAUUCCGAGUGUAGAGGUGAAAUUCGUAGAUAUUGGGAAGAACACCAGUGGCGAAGGCGGCCACCUGGCUCGAUACUGACGCUGAGGUGCGAAAGCGUGGGGAGCAAACAGGAUUAGAUA
Molecule: ribosomal RNA, 279 nt
Filed under: uncultured bacterium
Lineage: Bacteria
Description: partial 16S ribosomal RNA
Rfam family: Bacterial small subunit ribosomal RNA
Source: RNAcentral